CCUACGGGAGGCAGCAGUGGGGAAUAUUGCGCAAUGGGCGAAAGCCUGACGCAGCGACGCCGCGUGAGGGAUGAAGGUCUUCGGAUCGUAAACCUCUGUCAGCAGGGAAGAACGGUCACUGUGCUAAUCAGCAGUGAAUUGACGGUACCUGCAAAGGAAGCACCGGCUAACUUCGUGCCAGCAGCCGCGGUAAUACGGAGGGUGCGAGCGGUAAUCGGAAAUACUGGGCGUAAAGCGAUCGUAGGCGGUAUGUCAAGUCAAGGGUGAAAUCCCCGCGCUCAACGUGGGAACGGCCAAUGAAACUGGCAAACUAGAGUGUGACAGAGGAUAGUGGAAUUCCAGGUGUAGGAGUGAAAUCCGUAGAUAUCUGGAGGAACAUCAGUGGCGAAGGCGACUAUCUGGCACAUAACUGACGCUGAGGAGCGAAAGCGUGGGUAGCAAACAGGAUUAGAUACCCUAGUAGUC
This 465-nucleotide ribosomal RNA is filed under the name uncultured bacterium. Its description in RNAcentral is "partial 16S ribosomal RNA". It matches the Rfam family "Bacterial small subunit ribosomal RNA", at positions 338 to 795 of the family's 1533-position model. The record is from RNAcentral.